GGGGCCGUAAAUGGUUUCGACGGGGAUCGCUGAAGCCGGAUAAGCGAGCCGAAGCCCCGCACUUCGUUAAAAGCGGGAAUUAAAAAAUAACUGACGAAUCUAAUUUCGUACCCGUCGCUGCUUAAGCAGUGACCGUCCGUCCCCGGUUGCCCACGACCGGGAUCCCGGGCGUCAUCAAUGUGGGGAACCAGCCUGCAUAAGCUUUGCCGCAGGUGGGAUCUUAUGAAGCUACCAAAGUCCUGACCCUGCCGUUGGGGGCUGGAUGGAGGGAAUGGUAAAACACCGGCUACGCUCGUAGAAAGUCUUGUGGACGGAUUUUCGGACAGGAGUUCGACUCUCCUCGGCUCCACCA
Molecule: transfer-messenger RNA, 352 nt
Filed under: Christensenellales
Lineage: Bacteria; Bacillati; Bacillota; Clostridia
Also listed under: 1 other name
Description: UBA1685 sp004560435 Standard tmRNA
Rfam family: transfer-messenger RNA
About the family: Bacterial tmRNA, also known as 10Sa RNA or SsrA, is named for its dual tRNA and mRNA-like properties.
Source: RNAcentral